UUGRGUACUGGAAUGAAUGAUUUUACAUUUAAAAUUUUUCUUAAUUUUAAAAUUACAAUUUAGAGGUUAAGUAAGAAUACUUAAAUAUUUUAAAAAGACGAUAAGACCCUAAAAGCUUUAAAUUAUUUUAAUUUAUAAAUAAAAUAAAAUUUAUUAUAAUUUUUUACUGGGGUAGUAAUAUUAUUAAUUUAUUAAUUUAAAAUAUGCAAUUUCAAAUUCCUUAAKAUUAGGAUAUAAAUUAGUUACUUUAGGGAUAACAGCGCGAUAAUGUUUAAGAGAACGUAUCCACAACAUUGAUUGCGACCUCGAUGUUGAAUUAAUAGAUCUAUUUAAAGCAGUUUUUGAAAAAGAGGGUUUGUUCAACCUUUAAU
Molecule: ribosomal RNA, 371 nt
Filed under: Peramphithoe parmerong
Lineage: Eukaryota; Metazoa; Arthropoda; Malacostraca; Amphipoda; Ampithoidae
Description: partial large subunit ribosomal RNA
Source: RNAcentral